RNAcentral lists this ribosomal RNA (484 nucleotides) under uncultured bacterium. RNAcentral's name for it is "partial 16S ribosomal RNA". It matches the Rfam family "Bacterial small subunit ribosomal RNA", at positions 30 to 507 of the family's 1533-position model. The record is from RNAcentral.
AUUGAACGCUGGCGGCAGGCCUAACACAUGCAAGUCGAGCGGAUGAAGGGAGCUUGCUCCUGGAUUCAGCGGCGGACGGGUGAGUAAUGCCUAGGAAUCUGCCUGGUAGUGGGGGAUAACGUCCGGAAACGGGCGCUAAUACCGCAUACGUCCUGAGGGAGAAAGUGGGGGAUCUUCGGACCUCACGCUAUCAGAUGAGCCUAGGUCGGAUUAGCUAGUUGGUGGGGUAAAGGCCUACCAAGGCGACGAUCCGUAACUGGUCUGAGAGGAUGAUCAGUCACACUGGAACUGAGACACGGUCCAGACUCCUACGGGAGGCAGCAGUGGGGAAUAUUGGACAAUGGGCGAAAGCCUGAUCCAGCCAUGCCGCGUGUGUGAAGAAGGUCCUCGGAUUGUAAAGCACUUUAAGUUGGGAGGAAGGGCAGUAAGUUAAUACCUUGCUGUUUUGACGUUACCAACGGAAUAAGCACCGGCUAACUUCGUG